This 803-nucleotide ribosomal RNA is filed under the name uncultured bacterium. Its description in RNAcentral is "bacterial SSU rRNA". It matches the Rfam family "Bacterial small subunit ribosomal RNA", at positions 8 to 813 of the family's 1533-position model. The record is from RNAcentral.
AGAGUUUGAUCCUGGCUCAGGAUGAACGCUGGCGGCGUGCCUAACACAUGCAAGUCGAACGGAGCUGCUUUGAUGAAGUUUUCGGAUGGAUUUAAAACAGCUUAGUGGCGGACGGGUGAGUAACGCGUGGGUAACCUGCCUCACACUGGGGGAUAACAGUUAGAAAUAGCUGCUAAUACCGCAUAAGCGCACAGUUCCGCAUGGAACGGUGUGAAAAACUCCGGUGGUGUGAGAUGGACCCGCGUCUGAUUAGCCAGUUGGCGGGGUAACGGCCCACCAAAGCGACGAUCAGUAGCCGGCCUGAGAGGGUGAACGGCCACAUUGGGACUGAGACACGGCCCAAACUCCUACGGGAGGCAGCAGUGGGGAAUAUUGCACAAUGGGGGAAACCCUGAUGCAGCGACGCCGCGUGAGUGAAGAAGUAUUUCGGUAUGUAAAGCUCUAACAGCAGGGAAGAAAGUGACGGUACCUGAAUAAGAAGCCCCGGCUAACUACGUGCCAGCAGCCGCGGUAAUACGUAGGGGGCAAGCGUUAUCCGGAUUUACUGGGUGUAAAGGGAGCGUAGAAGGCAAGGCAAGUCUGAAGUGAAAGCCCGGUGCUUAACGCCGGGAUUGCUUUGGAAACUGUUUAGCUGGAGUGCCGGAGAGGUAAGCGGAAUUCCUAGUGUAGCGGUGAAAUGCGUAGAUAUUAGGAAGAACACCAGUGGCGAGGCGGCUUACUAGACGGUAACUGACGUUGAGGCUCGAAAGCGUGGGGAGCAAACAGGAUUAGAUACCCUGGUAGUCCACGCCGUAAACGAUGAU